AACGAACGCUGGCGGCAGGCUUAACACAUGCAAGUCGAGCGCCCCGCAAGGGGCGAGGCAGACGGGUGAGUAACGCGUGGGAACGUACCCUUAUCUUCGUGAUAGCUCCGGGAAGCUGGAAUUAAUACCGAAUGUGCCCUUUGGGGGGAAGCUUUAUCGGAUAAGGAUCGGCCCGCGUUGGAUUGGCUAGUUGGUGGGGUAAAGGCCUACCAAGGCGACAAUCCAUAGCUGGUCUGAGAGGAUGAUCAGCAACAUUGGGACUGAGACAAGGCCCAAACUACGAAGAGAGGCAGCAGGGGGGACAAUUGGACAAUGGGCGGAAGCCUGAAACCGACAGGCCGCGAGAGUGACGAAGGCCUUAGAGUUGUAAAGCUCUUUGCACGGAGAAGAUAAUGAGGGGAUCGGGAGAAGAAGCCCCGGCUAACUUGUU
This 430-nucleotide ribosomal RNA is filed under the name uncultured bacterium. Its description in RNAcentral is "partial 16S ribosomal RNA". It matches the Rfam family "Bacterial small subunit ribosomal RNA", at positions 29 to 506 of the family's 1533-position model. The record is from RNAcentral.